UACAGAGGUCCCAAGCGUUGUUCGGAUUCACUGGGCGUAAAGGGUGCGUAGGUGGUUGGGUAAGUUUGAUGUGAAAUCUCCGGGCUUAACCCGGAAACUGCAUUGAAUACUAUCUGGCUAGAGGGUUGGAGGGGGGACUGGAAUACUUGGUGUAGCAGUGAAAUGCGUAGAUAUCAAGCGGAACACCAGUGGCGAAGGCGAGUCCCUGGACAACUCCUGACACUGAGGCACGAAAGCUAGGGGAGCAAACAGG
RNAcentral lists this ribosomal RNA (253 nucleotides) under uncultured bacterium. RNAcentral describes it as "partial 16S ribosomal RNA". It matches the Rfam family "Bacterial small subunit ribosomal RNA", at positions 524 to 776 of the family's 1533-position model. The record is from RNAcentral.